AGCGAACGCUGGCGGCGUGCCUAACACAUGCAAGUCGAACGUGAAAGGGAGCAAUCCCAAGUAAAGUGGCGUACGGGUGAGUAACACGUAGGUAAUCUACCCCAGAAUCUGGAAUAACCGGCCGAAAGGAUGGCUAAUACUGGAUAGAGCGACGGAAUCAGUAAUUGGGUUUUUCGGGAAAGGGAGACUGUAAAAAGGCCUUCGUUCUGGGAUGAGCCUGCGUCCCAUCAGCUAGUUGGUGAGGUAAAAGCUUACCAAGGCAAUGACGGGUAGCUGGUCUGAGAGGACGAUCAGCCACACUGGAACUGAAACACGGUCCAGACUCCUACGGGAGGCAGCAGUGGGGAAUCGUGCGCAAUGGACGAAAGUCUGACGCAGCAACGCCGCGUGGGUGAAGAAGGCCUUCGGGUUGUAAAGCUCUGUCGAGUGGGACGAAAAUGCUUGGAGUUCACAGCUCCAGGAACUGACGGUACCACUAAAGGAAGCACCGGCUAACUCCGUG
Molecule: ribosomal RNA, 502 nt
Filed under: uncultured bacterium
Lineage: Bacteria
Description: partial 16S ribosomal RNA
Rfam family: Bacterial small subunit ribosomal RNA
Source: RNAcentral